This is a non-coding RNA of Caenorhabditis elegans, 930 nucleotides long. Ensembl annotates it as ncRNA. Its record names the gene anr-24. The record is from Ensembl. Lineage: Eukaryota; Metazoa; Nematoda; Chromadorea; Rhabditida; Rhabditidae.
UCUCAGCUUUCUCUCGUAUUUCAUCAAUGGACUAAACCAUGCGCCAUCUUUUAUCGCAUGAACAUCAUCAUGCUCGAUCAACUCCUUCCAUCGACAAUAUUCCUCAUAUCGAGACGUCUUUUUCGAGUGAACAAGUGAAUCGAGUCCCCAAGCCAAGAUACGACUGUUCACAAAUGCUAAAGCUCGGCUUUUCAUCUGACCAAACAGCUCCGGAGCAUCUCUCCACUCAAAGUUCUCGAACCACUGACGAUCAAGAAGUCCCGAAAGCUUUUGGAAGUAGCCGCCUGAAAAUAAAAUUAUUUAGUUAUUUAAUUAUUUAGUCUCAGUGAAAAGAUUUCUUCGGACUAUGCUAUUGUGAACGUAUAGUUCAGUUCUAUUGUUUACUAUCCCUCUAUUAUUAUCGCAUUUCCCAUCUGUCUUUGUGUAAUAGAGGUCACUCAUCUGGCCUGCCCUCUUAGUGUUCUACCCCUUCAAUAUAUUCAUUCUAUACAUCAGCUGGCGAGUGAGAGGCGACCUAUAUCCUCUCUCUCCAUCCGGCCUAUUUAAUUAAUAAAUACAUGUAUUAAAACACUAUAUUUAACAAUCAUAAACAGAUAAUGAGGUACCAUUAUCUUCCGUUUAUACUAUCUACUGCUACCUUCCCUCAUCACGCUACAAAAACCAUUUCUAAUUAGCUCACAACACUUGCAAAAAAAAAACACAUUUUAAUGGUCUUUCCGUAUGGAAACAGCCUUGUGAUGCAUAAACGUGACUCGAGAAGGUUUUCUUUCAAAUAAAACUACCCACAAGGUGAGACGGAUCUGCGUUCGGCUGCUGCUCUCACAUGUGCUUCAAUCGAAGAAUUAUCCGCUGGACCAUUGGCUUUUUCGAUCCUAAAAUUUUUGCUCCUAACCAACUGUAUUUUUCUAGCUAGAAAUAAAGUUUAUUGAG